GAUGAACGCUGGCGGCGUGCCUAAUACAUGCAAGUCGAGCGAACAGACGAGGAGCUUGCUCCUCUGACGUUAGCGGCGGACGGGUGAGUAACACGUGGAUAACCUACCUAUAAGACUGGGAUAACUUCGGGAAACCGGAGCUAAUACCGGAUAAUAUAUUGAAUCGCAUGGUUCAAUAGUGAAAGACGGUUUUGCUGUCACUUAUAGAUGGAUCCGCGCCGCAUUAGCUAGUUGGUAAGGUAACGGCUUACCAAGGCGACGAUGCGUAGCCGACCUGAGAGGGUGAUCGGCCACACUGGAACUGAGACACGGUCCAGACUCCUACGGGAGGCAGCAGUAGGGAAUCUUCCGCAAUGGGCGAAAGCCUGACGGAGCAACGCCGCGUGAGUGAUGAAGGUCUUCGGAUCGUAAAACUCUGUUAUUAGGGAAGAACAAAUGUGUAAGUAACUAUGCACGUCUUGACGGUACCUAAUCAGAAAGCCACGGCUAACUACGU
RNAcentral lists this ribosomal RNA (496 nucleotides) under uncultured bacterium. RNAcentral's name for it is "partial 16S ribosomal RNA". It matches the Rfam family "Bacterial small subunit ribosomal RNA", at positions 28 to 506 of the family's 1533-position model. The record is from RNAcentral.